Molecule: transfer RNA, 156 nt
Filed under: Segatella copri
Lineage: Bacteria; Pseudomonadati; Bacteroidota; Bacteroidia; Bacteroidales; Prevotellaceae
Description: tRNA-Ser
Rfam family: tRNA
About the family: Transfer RNA (tRNA) molecules are approximately 80 nucleotides in length.
Source: RNAcentral
GGAGGUUUGGCAGAGUUGGUCUAUUGCACCGGUCUUGAAAACCGGCAGGCGGCAACGUCUCAAAGGUUCGAAAUCGCCUUAAGCGAGUGCAGAAGCCAAGCUUGCUUGGGUUAUGCCGAGUGUCUGGCGAUUCUCAUAGAAAUCCUUUAGCCUCCG